Molecule: ribosomal RNA, 253 nt
Filed under: uncultured bacterium
Lineage: Bacteria
Description: partial 16S ribosomal RNA
Rfam family: Bacterial small subunit ribosomal RNA
Source: RNAcentral
GACGAGGGGUCCUAGCGUUGUUCGGAAUCACUGGGCGUAAAGCGUUUGUAGGCGGCUCUAUAAGUCGGGUGUGAAAUCCCAUGGCUCAACCAUGGAAGUGCAUUCGAAACUGCAGAGCUUGAAUAUGGAAGAGGAGAGUAGAAUUCCUGGUGUAGUGGUGAAAUACGUAGAUAUCAGGAGGAAUACCGGUGGCGAAGGCGGCUCUCUGGUCCAAUAUUGACGCUGAGAAACGAAAGUGCGGGGAUCAAACAGG